Dreissena polymorpha is the source of this 648-nucleotide long non-coding RNA. RefSeq lists it as uncharacterized. Lineage: Eukaryota; Metazoa; Mollusca; Bivalvia; Myida; Dreissenidae. The transcript has 4 exons. The record is from RefSeq and is a predicted model, not a curated record.
UUUAGCGCCAGACAUUAAUCACAUCAGAUUAUUUUUUUAAGAUGAAGUAGUACAUAAGGAGAUGAACAUUUCAAAUCUUAAUUCUGUUUCAUCUUUAUCUAAACGUGUAUGGUUGAAAAAUAUAUUGAUUUUGUCGCACAAAUCUCGCAAAUAAUGAAUGAAUAUCAUCCGACUCCUGCAGACGCUCUUUGAUGAGAGGAACAUUCUCUUAUCAUGUGUCGUGAUAAAAAUCAAAUUAAAUUAAAAUAACGAGAUAAUAUAAAGAUUAUGAUGAUACAGUGUCUGUAUACCCAAGUAUGAGCUGGUUAAAGAUGCAAGCUUCACUAAAACAGACUUUGGUGAUCACAUUUAAUUGCCAAGUACAGACCAAGAUGACAGUUUCACUUCACUGACCAAGCAUGAUUUAAAAGAAGAACAAUGGCUGAAAAUCUAACACCUUGCAGUGGAUGCAAUUACCCUUGUCAAAUUGGGUGAUUGAACCACAACCCCAAAUCAACAUGUUCAGAUUCUUCAAGACAGAUCAUUUUAGGCAAAAGAUAUAAAGAUGCAAAAGAGGUAAGUACGCAGACACUCCUAGCCAAUUUCACUACUUUCAUAUACAUGUAUCAUUUUUCUGUUGUUCAGUAUAGUCCACGCGUUUUCCCCAAU